CCCGACUGCAGCCAGCCUGCAACUUUGCGGCGGUCCUCGUCCUGCCAGGAACUCCCCCGAGGCUGCGAGGCGGGGAGGCGGCGGAGCCGCGGACGGCAGCGCGGGGCGAGGAGCCGGAGAAUUCAACUUCCGGCUUAACAGCAAGACUAAAGGCUGUCACAGGUGACCCUGCAGAGCCCUGAGCCCUCUUACAUUACUGAACUACAGCCAGUCCCUCAGGAUCUCUGAGCCCGAUCCCAGCCCUGAACCUCCAAAGUUCUGUCAGUGUCAGCUGAGGGCAGCCCUUUCUGGAAGCAAGAGGGUUCUCCCAAAGGAAAACGAGGCGGAGCUGCCUGCCACCUGCUACAAUCAAAUUCAAGAAAGUCUGUGACCACUGUAUGUGAAUCUCAUAAAGGCAUGUCUGUAAGAAAGGUACUAAUCACCUGAGGGACAAGCAGAACAGUUUUUAUGAAACAUACCGGUUACAGGAAUUUGACAGAUCUCCUGCACAAAUCGGUUUUUUUUCUUUUCUUUUUUUUCAAGAUUUUAUUUAUUUAUUUUUCAGAGGGGGAGAGAGAGAGCACAAGCAGGGGGAGCUGCAAGCAGUGGGAGAAGCAGGCUCCCCACUGAUCAGGGAGCCCGAUGUGGGACUCGAUCCCACCACCCUGAGAUCAUGCCCGGAGCCAGAGGCAGGUGCUUAACCAACUGAGCCACCCAGGCACUUCACACAUCAGUUCUGAAAGAAAUAGCAUUUGUCCAGAAAAGGUUUUGUUUGUUUGUUUGUUUGUUUGUUUGUUUGUUUGUUUGUUGUUUUUUUGAGGUCAGGAGAAAAAUUCCCUAAAGGUCCAGAAGCCCUGCGACUAGCGGUUCCCGAAGAACGUGCUUGCUGCCGAGGACGGCCAGUGUUGCCGCGCGCCCAGAACAAAGCACGGUGCGCACCCGGCCUGCAGGGCCGCUGAGAUUGGAGGCUUAAACGUGAAGACCUUAAACGAUCCAAGCCAGACAAUGACACGCGUUGAUGUUCAGUUGCGGAGAUGCCCAUGUGUCCUCGCCUAACAGCUGUCACGCUAUUUCAGAUGCAACCAAUUGGUUUAUUUUGGCCCAAAGAAAGAUUUGGACAUCUAUUUGAACAUUAGAAGCACAGCAUGGCUCACUGGAUUCAACAAUUGAACAGAAUGU
This is a long non-coding RNA of Ailuropoda melanoleuca (giant panda), 1158 nucleotides long. RefSeq lists it as uncharacterized. The record is from RefSeq and is a predicted model, not a curated record. The transcript is spliced from 5 exons. Lineage: Eukaryota; Metazoa; Chordata; Mammalia; Carnivora; Ursidae.